Molecule: ribosomal RNA, 412 nt
Filed under: Escherichia coli
Lineage: Bacteria; Pseudomonadati; Pseudomonadota; Gammaproteobacteria; Enterobacterales; Enterobacteriaceae
Description: bacterial SSU rRNA
Rfam family: Bacterial small subunit ribosomal RNA
Source: RNAcentral
CGUAAAGCGCACGCAGGCGGUUUGUUAAGUCAGAUGUGAAAUCCCCGGGCUCAACCUGGGAACUGCAUCUGAUACUGGCAAGCUUGAGUCUCGUAGAGGGGGGUAGAAUUCCAGGUGUAGCGGUGAAAUGCGUAGAGAUCUGGAGGAAUACCGGUGGCGAAGGCGGCCCCCUGGACGAAGACUGACGCUCAGGUGCGAAAGCGUGGGGAGCAAACAGGAUUAGAUACCCUGGUAGUCCACGCCGUAAACGAUGUCGACUUGGAGGUUGUGCCCUUGAGGCGUGGCUUCCGGAGCUAACGCGUUAAGUCGACCGCCUGGGGAGUACGGCCGCAAGGUUAAAACUCAAAUGAAUUGACGGGGGCCCGCACAAGCGGUGGAGCAUGUGGUUUAAUUCGAUGCAACGCGAAGAACC